UACAGAGGUCCCAAGCGUUGUUCGGAUUUACUGGGCGUAAAGGGUGCGUAGGCGGUCGGGUAAGUCUGGCGUGAAAUCUCCAAGCCUAACUUGGAAACUGCGUUGGAUACUAUCCGGCUCGAGGAAUGGAGGGGAGACUGGAAUACUUGGUGUAGCAGUGAAAUGCGUAGAUAUCAAGUGGAACACCAGUGGCGAAGGCGGCGACCUGGACGGACACUGACGCUGAGACGCGAAAGCGUGGGGAGCAAACAGG
Molecule: ribosomal RNA, 253 nt
Filed under: uncultured bacterium
Lineage: Bacteria
Description: partial 16S ribosomal RNA
Rfam family: Bacterial small subunit ribosomal RNA
Source: RNAcentral